GGAAAGGCAAAGGAGACUUCAUAUGAUGCCCUGAAUAAUACUCCUUGUCUGCUUCCUUCCUGGAUUUCUAAGGUGUCUGCUCAACAAAGAAGAGGAAGAGCUGGCCGCGUUCAACCAGGAGAAUGUUACCAUCUUUAUCCUAGAUGUGUCUAUGAAGCCUUUGCAGAGUAUCAGUUACCAGAAAUUUUGAGGACUCCUUUGCAGUCUCUCUGUCUGCAAAUCAAAAGUUUGAAACUCAGAAGUAUUUCUGAGUUUCUCUCAAGGGCCUUGCAGUCACCUGAGUUGUUGGCGGUUCAAAAUGCUAUUGAAUACUUGAAAAUCAUUGGG
Molecule: unclassified non-coding RNA, 327 nt
Filed under: Hevea brasiliensis (rubber tree)
Lineage: Eukaryota; Viridiplantae; Streptophyta; Magnoliopsida; Malpighiales; Euphorbiaceae
Source: RNAcentral